UACGUAGGGGGGCUAGCGUUGUCCGGAAUCAUUGGGUUUAAAGGGUCCGUAGGCGGUUUGGUAAGUCAGUGGUGAAAGCCCAUCGCUCAACGGUGGAACGGCCAUUGAUACUGCCAGACUUGAAUUAUUAGGAAGUAACUAGAAUAUGUAGUGUAGCGGUGAAAUGCUUAGAGAUUACAUGGAAUACCAAUUGCGAAGGCAGGUUACUACUAAUGGAUUGACGCUGAUGGACGAAAGCGUGGGUAGCGAACAGG
This 254-nucleotide ribosomal RNA is filed under the name uncultured bacterium. Its description in RNAcentral is "partial 16S ribosomal RNA". It matches the Rfam family "Bacterial small subunit ribosomal RNA", at positions 524 to 776 of the family's 1533-position model. The record is from RNAcentral.